Non-coding RNA from Cinara cedri, 887 nucleotides. The record is from the annotation of a GenBank genome assembly. Lineage: Eukaryota; Metazoa; Arthropoda; Insecta; Hemiptera; Aphididae.
AAUUAUUGAUUAGUUAUGUUUUUUAUAAUACUAAUAUACUAAUAAAUACUUACUGUUUUUCCAAUAGAUUUGUUUUUAAUUUCUUUCGAUUGUUUUCGAAAAUAUGAAAAUAUGGGUUUAGUUUUCCUUUACUUUUCCUCCAUGUUAUGCUUGAAUUGGAUAUAAUAAUAUAAAAUUACGUGUACUUACGCUAAUUCAUCAAAAAUCGUAUAAAUUAUAAUACAAAACAAUAACGAAAAUACCGGAUGAUAACAGCACGACAAUUGCCAUACAAAUAUACACUACACUUGUAGACGCAAAUCCCGAAAAAGGCUGACACUCGACUGAUUGAUUAAACUACUCACGAUGCGUCACAUAUAGUCUAAAAAAUUCGAUAGUAUUCCAGAUUAGAUACCGGGCAUCGAUAUCGAACUGUUGUUGUUUUAACAGCAAUAAUUACACUUACAUAUUAAAUGUAUAGACGUAAAGACAUACCUAUUAAGUAUUUAUUACUUACACAACAUAUAACACGUCCUAAGGGAUUCUAACAAAAUCGCAAUCCAAACAAAAUGUGUUUGUACUAUUUUAAUAUAAUAUAUAAUAUAUUAGCAAUUGCACGGAUAUCUUUUCGGCAUAUUAUAAAGUUAAUUUUGCGAAUGUCAGGUGUAAAUAACUCCAAAUUUUUAGUAAUAGAGGAGUGUAAACAAGAAGAAAAAUCUAGUAUAAUUAUUGUCGGACUUCAGGUGUUUAAUAAAAACUGAAUUCAUACCCAUAUAUUUCGGUUUUCGAAUUUUAAUGAUAUCGCCGUUAUAUACAAAUAUAAAUUAUAAUAUUUGUAUGCAAAAACAAAAAUUAAUUUCCUUAACAAUACAGUAUUUUGUUACCAAUAUAAUCAUUUGAACACUGUG